AUGGAGUUUGUAGUGGGUGCUUCGGAAGCCACCAUGAGAUCUCUCCUAGGCAAGUUGGGCGGUCUCCUUGCCCAAGAGUACACUCUGAUCCGCGGCAUCCGCGGCGACAUCCAGUACAUCAGCGACGAGCUCGCCAGCAUGCACGCCUUUCUUGGCGACCUCGGCUCUGCCCUGGAUGACCACGAUCGCCGGCUCAAGAACUGGAUGAAGCAGAUUCGUGACAUGGUAUACGACAUGGAAGACUGCAUCGAUGACUUUGCUCAUCGCCUCCCUCAGGACUCUCUCAGCGAUGCAAGAUGCUCCUUCAUCGUGACGAUAGUCUACGAGAUGUGGAAGUUCUGGCCUCGCCGUGACAUUGCCUCCAAGAUUGCCGAGCUCAAGGUCCGGGCACAGUACAUUGCUGAGAGGCGCAGCAGAUAUGGAGUGAACAACCCAAACCCAAGAACAAGCUCCGGAGCCGGAGCAACCCAUGCUGUUACGUAUGGCAUUGCUGAGCAUUUGGUGGCGAGCCGCCAGCUCAUCCGCACAGAGAACCCCGUGGGAGUGAAGAUGGACAUGAAGAAGCUCGGAGGUUGGCUAGCCAAACAUGAUAAAGGCUCUCAUCGAGCUGUUGUGUCAUUGAUUGGAUUUGGUGGUGUGGGAAAGACCACCAUUGCCAUGGCACUGUACCGAGAUUUCAGGAAUGAAUUUGACUGUCGGGCAUCAGUCAUAGUGUCUCAGAACUUUGAUGAAGAUGAAGUCCUAAGGGAUGUUCUUGGGCAAAUCAAGCCAGCAGACAGUCAAAUCAACACAAAGGAGGAGGUGCAGGAGGGUAGCAACGCAGGGAAGGUGGAGAAGAAGAGCCUAGUGACAGGUAUUAAAAGCUCAGUUAAGCGAGUUGUGCCACUGCUCUCUGGUCACAGGCCGCAAAGCAAUGAUGGCAGCAUGCAGAAUAAGAUAGAAACAACGAAUCGUGACCAGCUUAUUGAAGAACUCAAAAAGCGCCUGCUUGGAAGGAGGUAUCUCCUCUUGAUUGAUGAUAUAUGGUCUGUACAAACAUGGGAGACCAUUAGAAAUUGGUUGCCACAUGAUAAUAAUAAGGAUAGUAGAGUAAUAGUAACUACAAGAUUUCAAGCUGUUGGUGCGGCUUGCUCAGAAAGAGAUGGAACUGAUUAUCUGCAUACGGUUAAUGCCCUAAGUGAUGUCGACUCCAAAAGUCUAUUUCAUCAGGGUUUUUCUGAAUCCCCAAGCAGCCAAGAAAGUGAAAGAAUGGAUACAAGAUCUCAAGCUGUUGGUGUUGAGUCCUCUGAACGAGAUGGAACAGAUCAUCUGCAUUCAGCCGAUGUCCCAAGUGAUGCCAAUGCCAAAGGUCCGUUCGAUGACCGUGUUUCUGAUCCACAGAGAAGCAAAGAAAGGGAGAUAGGAGAGGUCCAUGAGGAGAUAUGGAAAUAUUGUGGGGGGCUGCCUUUGGCCAUAGUCACCAUGGCUGGCCUUGUGGCUUGCAACCCAACAAAAAACAAUGAUCAUUGGAGUAAAGUUUGCAAGUCAUUAUUUCCGGAGCAGGUGGCUCCCCUUACAUUGGAGGGGGUCACAAGGAUACUUGAUUAUUGCUAUAAUGACUUGCCAGCAGAUCUCAAGACCUGCUCAUUGUAUCUGAGCAUAUUCCCCAAGGGCUCAAAAGUUAGUAAGAAGCGUCUGACCCGGCGAUGGAUAUCAGAAUGUUUCGUCGCUGAGAAGCAAGGGCUGAGUGCAGAGGAAGUGGCAGAAACCUACUUCAAUCAGCUUGUAAGCAGGAAGAUAAUACGCCCUGUGGAUCACAGUAGCAACGGGAAGGUAAAAUCCUUUAAAGUUCAUGACAUGAUCCUGGAAUAUAUCGUGUCCAAGUCAAGCGAAGAGAAUUUUAUUACUGUUGUUGGUGGACAUUGGCUGAUGCCAACUCCUAGCAACAAAUUCCGUCGACUCUCCAUGCAAAGCAGUGGUUCCAAGCAUGGGAAUUCAACAAAAGGCAUGAACUUGUCUCAAGUGCGGUCACUGACAGCGUUUGGAAGCCAGAACAGACGGCUCCCUUUCCAUUCGUUCAACAAUGGAAUAAUACAAGUGCUAGAUCUUGAGGGCUGGAAGGGUUUGACAGAUAAGCAUAUGAAUGACAUAUGUAAAAUGCUUGUGUUUUAG
This 2151-nucleotide ribosomal RNA is filed under the name Triticum aestivum (bread wheat). RNAcentral's name for it is "partial small subunit ribosomal RNA". The record is from RNAcentral. Lineage: Eukaryota; Viridiplantae; Streptophyta; Magnoliopsida; Poales; Poaceae.